CCAGGCCUGUGAAGCUUCUCUUGGAGGCUCAGCACCCAGAUUUGAGCUCCUGGCUUCCCAGCUGGGGGUGGAGGGUGGAAAAGUGACCCAGGCUCUGUGCUCCCAUACUGACCGUCCAUCAACCUGGAGACGCCUUUGGAAAGUUUUGGCCCAGACGUCGCAAAGGCUUGCAGAUGAUCCAGCUGGAAUUUUCGGCAAAGGCAAAGGAACUGACAUUGGGGGAGUGAUUACUGCGUGCCCGACCCCGUGGGAGACGUUGAAAUAGGAAAGUUUGAAAAUGGAGAAAUGCACCAAGAAAAUUAAAAUCACCUGUAUCCUUGCCACCCAGAAAAAUACACAGAAGUGAGGAAACUGAGACACUUAAGAAAACUGAGGAUUGAAGUUAUGCAGCUGGAAAAAUGGAUUUGAGGUGCAUGGAGAUCCUUUGAAACUAAAAAUCCUUCUAUACAAGACUCAAGUCAGGCUUCUGGUUAAACAAAGUAGGGUUAGGAUGUUUUUCUCUUUUACUGUCCCUCGAUAUGUAUCCUAGCCAACAAAAAAUGAAAUAAACAACUUUUCACUUUCCUAAACACAAGGAAAACUCACAAUCCCAAACCAUAGAACAUAAAGCAUAUCUUCCAAAACCUGUGAAAUGCAAAUUAUUGAAGGGUGCCCAGAGUUGGUUCCCAUGUCCUUGGACCCUGAGCAAGAAACUCAUUUCCCCAAGAGUAAGUGACCCAGGGUUAAAAGGCACAUACAGUGACCCACUGAUUAUGACAACAUCAUCUAGCCCAGGGGCAGGAGAGUCCCUAUGGACUCAGUUUGACAUCAUGCAGUGAUGGGGUGG
Molecule: long non-coding RNA, 826 nt
Organism: Hippopotamus amphibius kiboko
Lineage: Eukaryota; Metazoa; Chordata; Mammalia; Artiodactyla; Hippopotamidae
Exons: 4
Source: RefSeq, a predicted model, not a curated record